This is a long non-coding RNA of Oncorhynchus keta (chum salmon), 637 nucleotides long. RefSeq lists it as uncharacterized. NCBI's taxonomy places the organism in Eukaryota, Metazoa, Chordata, Actinopteri, Salmoniformes, Salmonidae. The record is from RefSeq and is a predicted model, not a curated record. The transcript is spliced from 5 exons.
UCUAGUGAGGUGAUGUGUUUAUGUCUAGUGAGGUGAUGUUUUUAUGUCUAGUGAGGUGAUGUUUUUAUGUCUAGUGAGGUGAUGUGUUUAUGUCUAGUGAGGUGAUGUUUUUAUGUCUAGUGAGGUGAUGUUUUUAUGUCUAGUGAGGUGAUGUGUUUAUGUCUAGUGAGGUGAUGUGUUUAUGUCUAGUGAGGUGAUGUGUUUAUGUCUAGUAAGGUGAUGUGUUUAUGUCUAGUGAGGUGAUGUUUUUAUGUCUAGUGAGGUGAUGUUUUUAUGUCUAGUAAGGUGAUGUUUUUAUGUCUAGUGAGGUGAUGUGUUUAUGUCUAGUGAGGUGAUGUGUUUAUGUCUAGUGAGGUGAUGUGUUUAUGUCUAGUGAGGUGAUGUUUUUAUGUCUAGUGAGGUGAUGUGUUUAUGUCUAGUGAGGUGAUGUGUUUAUGUCUAGUGAGGUGAUGUUUUUAUGUCUAGUGAGGUGAUGUUUUUAUGUCUAGUGAGGUGAUGUUUUUAUGUCUAGUGAGGUGAUGUUUUUAUGUCUAGUGAGGUGAUGUGUUUAUGUCUAGUGAGGUGAUGUGUUUAUGUCUAGUGAGGUGAUGUGUUUAUGUCUAGUGAGGUGAUGUGUUUAUGUCUAGUGAGGUGAUGU